GUUGGUGUUGAUGACGCUGAGGGUCCACCUGUUCCCAUACCGAACACAGAAGUUAAGCUCAGUGGUGCCGAAAAUACUUGGCUGGUGACGGCCCGGGAAGAUAGGGAGAUGCCAACA
This 117-nucleotide ribosomal RNA is filed under the name Ruminococcus bromii. RNAcentral also lists the same sequence under 10 other names. Lineage: Bacteria; Bacillati; Bacillota; Clostridia; Eubacteriales; Oscillospiraceae. The record is from RNAcentral.